GCCGCAAUAGCACAAUUGGUAGUGCACCUGAUUUGUAAUCAGGGGGUUGGGGGUUCGAGUCCCUCUUGCGGCACCA
Molecule: transfer RNA, 76 nt
Filed under: Pseudomonadota bacterium
Lineage: Bacteria; Pseudomonadati; Pseudomonadota
Also listed under: 2 other names
Description: tRNA-Thr
Rfam family: tRNA
About the family: Transfer RNA (tRNA) molecules are approximately 80 nucleotides in length.
Source: RNAcentral